This 510-nucleotide ribosomal RNA is filed under the name uncultured bacterium. Its description in RNAcentral is "partial 16S ribosomal RNA". The record is from RNAcentral.
GGAGUUAGCCGGUGCUUCUUCUGUGAGUGAUGUCCUUCCUGCCGGUUAUUGACCCGCAGGCCUUCUUCCUCACUGAAAGUGCUUUACAACCCGAAGGCCUUCUUCACACACGCGGCAUGGCUGGAUCAGGGUUGCCCCCAUUGUCCAAUAUUCCCCACUGCUGCCUCCCGUAGGAGUCUGGGCCGUGUCUCAGUCCCAGUGUGGCUGAUCAUCCUCUCAGACCAGCUACGGAUCGUCGCCUUGGUGAGCCGUUACCUCACCAACCAGCUAAUCCGACAUAGGCUCAUCCGAUAGCGCGAGGCCCGAAGGUCCCCCGCUUUCCCCCGUAGGGCGUAUGCGGUAUUAGCCUGGGUUUCCCCAGGUUAUCCCCCACUACCGGGCAGAUUCCUAUGCAUUACUCACCCGUCCGCCGCUCGCCACCAGGGAGCAAGCUCCCCGUGCUGCCGCUCGACUUGCAUGUGUUAGGUCGUCGCCGCCGACGCGUCACUCUGAGCAUGAUACAACUACUGA